Long non-coding RNA from Etheostoma spectabile (orangethroat darter), 179 nucleotides. RefSeq lists it as uncharacterized. The record is from RefSeq and is a predicted model, not a curated record. Lineage: Eukaryota; Metazoa; Chordata; Actinopteri; Perciformes; Percidae. The transcript has 3 exons.
ACGAUGAUGCAAUGAGGCUGCUGCUUGGUGUCCCUAGGUGGCAUAGUGCCAGUCAGCUGUUUGUGUCCACUAGAGUGACGACCUGUGAGACACUCUUAAGACAACUGAUGUUUAGUUUUAUGUGUCGUCUGGACAAGUCAGAGAACCUUAUAAUUGAAGCCUUAGUCAGCCCUAUGAAA